GACAGAGGGUGCAAACGUUGCUCGGAAUUACUGGGCGUAAAGCGCACGUAGUCGGCUUUGCAAGUCGGGUGUGAAAUCCCCGGGCUCAACCUGGGAACUGCAUCCGAGACUGCAUUGCUAGAGUAUGGGAGAGGGAAGCGGAAUUUCUGGUGUAGCAGUGAAAUGCGUAGAUAUCAGAAGGAACAUCAGUGGCGAAGGCGGCUUCCUGGACCAAUACUGACGAUCAGGUGCGAAAGCGUGGGGAGCAAACAGG
This 253-nucleotide ribosomal RNA is filed under the name uncultured bacterium. Its description in RNAcentral is "partial 16S ribosomal RNA". It matches the Rfam family "Bacterial small subunit ribosomal RNA", at positions 524 to 776 of the family's 1533-position model. The record is from RNAcentral.